AAAUUGAAGAGUUUGAUCAUGGCUCAGAUUGAACGCUGGCGGCAGGCCUAACACAUGCAAGUCGAGCGGCAGCGGGAAAGUAGCUUGCUACUUUUGCCGGCGAGCGGCGGACGGGUGAGUAAUGCCUGGGAAAUUGCCCAGUCGAGGGGGAUAACAGUUGGAAACGACUGCUAAUACCGCAUACGCCCUACGGGGGAAAGCAGGGGACCUUCGGGCCUUGCGCGAUUGGAUAU
RNAcentral lists this ribosomal RNA (233 nucleotides) under Aeromonas hydrophila. Its description in RNAcentral is "partial 16S ribosomal RNA". It matches the Rfam family "Bacterial small subunit ribosomal RNA", at positions 1 to 228 of the family's 1533-position model. Lineage: Bacteria; Pseudomonadati; Pseudomonadota; Gammaproteobacteria; Aeromonadales; Aeromonadaceae. RNAcentral also lists the same sequence under 1 other name. The record is from RNAcentral.